AGCGAACGCUGGCGGCAGGCUUAACACAUGCAAGUCGAACGGCCGUAGCAAUACGGCAGUGGCAGACGGGUGAGUAACACGUGGGAAUGUACCUCUCGGUUCGGAAUAACCCAGGGAAACUUGGGCUAAUACCGGAUACGCCCUUACGGGGAAAGAUUUAUCGCCGAGAGAUCAGCCCGCGUCCGAUUAGCUAGUUGGUGGGGUAAUGGCCCACCAAGGCGACGAUCGGUAGCUGGUCUGAGAGGAUGAUCAGCCACACUGGGACUGAGACACGGCCCAGACUCCUACGGGAGGCAGCAGUGGGGAAUAUUGGAGAAUGGGCGCAAGCCUGAUCCAGCCAUGCCGCGUGGGUGAUGAAGGCCCUAGGGUUGUAAAGCCCUUUCGGCGGGGAAGAUAAUGACGGUACCCGCAGAAGAAGCCCCGGCUAACUUCGUGCCAGCAGCCGCGGUAAUACGAAGGGGGCUAGCGUUGCUCGGAAUCACUGGGCGUAAAGCGCACGUAGGCGGGUCGUUU
RNAcentral lists this ribosomal RNA (513 nucleotides) under uncultured bacterium. RNAcentral's name for it is "bacterial SSU rRNA". It matches the Rfam family "Bacterial small subunit ribosomal RNA", at positions 28 to 585 of the family's 1533-position model. The record is from RNAcentral.